GGUGAACGCUGGCGGCGUGCUUGACACAUGCAAGUCGAACGGUAUGUGGCAACACAUAGAGUGGCGCACGGGUGAGUAACGCGUGGGUAAUCUGCCCUUGGGCGGGGGAUAACCUCUCGAAAGGGGGGCUAAUACCGCAUGAGACCACGGCUUUUCGGGGCUGUGGGAAAAGGUGGGUCGCAAGGCCUGCCACCUGAGGAUGAGCCCGNGUACCAUUAGGUUGUUGGUGGGGUAAUGGCCUACCAAGCCGAAGAUGGUUAGCUGGUCUGAGAGGACGAUCAGCCACACUGGGACUGAGACACGGCCCAGACUCCUACGGGAGGCAGCAGUGGGGAAUAUUGCGCAAUGGGGGAAACCCUGACGCAGCAACGCCGCGUGUGUGAAGAAGG
This 389-nucleotide ribosomal RNA is filed under the name uncultured bacterium. RNAcentral's name for it is "bacterial SSU rRNA". It matches the Rfam family "Bacterial small subunit ribosomal RNA", at positions 28 to 414 of the family's 1533-position model. The record is from RNAcentral.